RNAcentral lists this ribosomal RNA (334 nucleotides) under uncultured Pseudomonas sp. RNAcentral's name for it is "bacterial SSU rRNA". It matches the Rfam family "Bacterial small subunit ribosomal RNA", at positions 1049 to 1382 of the family's 1533-position model. Lineage: Bacteria; Pseudomonadati; Pseudomonadota; Gammaproteobacteria; Pseudomonadales; Pseudomonadaceae. The record is from RNAcentral.
UUGUCGUCAGCUCGUGCCGUGAGAUGUUGGGUUAAGUCCCGUAACGAGCGCAACCCUUGUCCUUAGUUACCAGCACGUUAUGGUGGGCACUCUAAGGAGACUGCCGGUGACAAACCGGAGGAAGGUGGGGAUGACGUCAAGUCAUCAUGGCCCUUACGGCCUGGGCUACACACGUGCUACAAUGGUCGGUACAAAGGGUUGCCAAGCCGCGAGGUGGAGCUAAUCCCAUAAAACCGAUCGUAGUCCGGAUCGCAGUCUGCAACUCGACUGCGUGAAGUCGGAAUCGCUAGUAAUCGUGAAUCAGAAUGUCACGGUGAAUACGUUCCCGGGCCUU